GUUUUAUCGCUUGCUUAUUGAGAGGUAAAAAACAGAACCAAUUUGCCACUUUGCCCUCUCAGAUAAUUUUGAAAAUUUCUUCCUUAAAGACUCUGCUUUUCAGGCUUGGGGGAACAUCAGUUCUUUCUACCAGACAUUGUUGUUAACAAAUGGAAGAGGCCUGAUUCAUGAUCAAGAAGAGGCCAAGGCCUAGUUGGUGGCCUUGAGCAGUUCAUCCCUGGUUUGCCUGAAAUCACUGAGUUCAGAGCAAGGAGAUUCAAAGAUCAUCUAGGCUGGUGUUUUCAAACUGUAUUUUUAAACUGAUGAAUCUGCUUUCCCCAAGAAAUCUCUCCUAGCUCUCUUCUCAUCUUUCAUCCCAUUGUGACCACACAGAAAACAGCUGCUCUAAUUGUCCUGCUGCUUGACAGUGAUAGUCAAACACUACAAGUGAGGAGGUUUAAGGCUGAGAGAAGGGGAGUGAAGUAACUGACUGGACAUCCCAAAGUUAGGUGGUCCUGAGAGCCAGGUGCUGACAGCUGCCUCACCUUAAGAGUCUCCUUUCGUUAUGGCAUCUGGAAAGAUCUCACAUGGCAGGCCUGCUUCUAGUUCCUUCUUCCUAGUGUGUCUGAGGAAAUCCAAUCUCUCCCACUCCAGCCCGCCUACUCAUUGAACAUGGCUGCUAUCUCUGUCUUCUGGAAACACGGCUCCAAUCCUGCAACAACUCUAUACAAGAGCUCCCAGUGGUUCUUAACCUUGGCUGAGCAACAGACCCAUUUGGGAAGAUUUUUAAAAAUCUAGCUUAUGAGAUACCUCAGAUCAAUCAAUCCCUGGCAGUGGGUCUGCUAAACAUCAGAUACAGACAAACAACUGCAUAGAUCUCCAACUAGAUUGAAGAACAGGACCCUCCAGAGAGCUUCCAAGAAGACACCAACCUAGGCAUGGGUUUAUGUUCCUGACAAAGAAUAAGGAUUGUUAUGAAGAAUGUUCUAUUUUGAAUUGUGAAAAUAAUUAUUUAAAGCUGUACAAUUUUUUUUGUUUGUUUGUUCUGAGACAAGGUAUCACUCUGAAGACAAGGUCACCCAGGCUGAAGUAAUAUGGCAUGGUCUCAGCUCACUGCAACCUCUGCCUCCCAGGUUCAGUGAAAGCUUUCACUAGACCUUGAUGGCACUAUGGUCAUUAUCUUGUCAAAACUGUGGUGGAUUUGAAGAGCUAGUGAUGAAGAAUGGAGGUUUCCUGUCCUAGAAAUAACCAAAGGCCCAGGCUUGGAGGUGGCAGAAAAAGUGGCACUUAAGGAACAUGGACGGAGCUGGAGGCUACUAUCCUUAGCAAACUAAUGCAGGAACAGAAAACCAAAUGCUGCAUAUCUAAGUGGGAGCUGAAUGUUACUAGCCCAGUAUUUGGAAUUUGCCAAAGCUAUAUUCCUCAGAAUUUACUUCAAGAGCUCCUUUGUAUCGGCGGAGAAUGAAGAACGGAGAAGAGGAGGAGGAGGUUGAAAGAAACUUAAGAGAUGUGGCAACUAAUUGCAACGUGUAGAUUGUAUUUAGCUCAUGAUUCACACAAA
RNAcentral lists this long non-coding RNA (1540 nucleotides) under Homo sapiens (human). RNAcentral's name for it is "HSALNT0319633". The record is from RNAcentral. Lineage: Eukaryota; Metazoa; Chordata; Mammalia; Primates; Hominidae.